GAGAGUGUAGCUCAAGUGGUAGAGCAUGUGCUUAGCCUGCACGAGGUCCUGGGUUCAAUCCCCAGUGCUUCCU
This 73-nucleotide transfer RNA is filed under the name Camelus bactrianus (Bactrian camel). It matches the Rfam family "tRNA". From Rfam's summary of the family: Transfer RNA (tRNA) molecules are approximately 80 nucleotides in length. RNAcentral also lists the same sequence under 2 other names. Lineage: Eukaryota; Metazoa; Chordata; Mammalia; Artiodactyla; Camelidae. The record is from Rfam by way of RNAcentral.